RNAcentral lists this ribosomal RNA (253 nucleotides) under uncultured bacterium. RNAcentral describes it as "partial 16S ribosomal RNA". It matches the Rfam family "Bacterial small subunit ribosomal RNA", at positions 524 to 776 of the family's 1533-position model. The record is from RNAcentral.
UACGUAGGGUCCGAGCGUUGUCCGGAAUUAUUGGGCGUAAAGGGCUCGUAGGCGGUUUGUCGCGUCGGGAGUGAAAUCACCGGGCUUAACUCGGUGCUUGCUUUCGAUACGGGCAGACUGGAGGCAUGCAGGGGAGAACGGAAUUCCUGGUGUAGCGGUGAAAUGCGCAGAUAUCAGGAGGAACACCGGUGGCGAAGGCGGUUCUCUGGGCAUGUCCUGACGCUGAGGAGCGAAAGUGUGGGGAGCGAACAGG